UAACGACAUCAUCUUGGUUUUAUCAAACGCUUCCUGUACCUGGAUUUCCCACAAUACACCCACUAGCACUAGGCCCUCUGCAGACAUUGCCUGAAUUUCUACAUUGUUAGCAAUUGUUUUAGCCACAAUAAAUCCUGCACAAUAUCACCAAAGUCAUAUUAUUUUAACCAAUUCUAGACAUAAUAUUUUUCUACUUAAAAUCUACCUAGCUUCUGAUUAUUAAUAGGAUAAAAUCCAAAAGCAUAAUGUUGUGCACAUGUACCUUAAAACUUAAAGUAUAAUAAAAAAAAGAAAAAAAAAGAAAACACUAAUCAUAAAUUACAGUGGCUAUAUUAAGACACUAUAUAAACACUACACAGUGGCUAUAUAAGACACAGACAAGGUAAGCUUUAAAAUACGGAGUAUCACCAGAUACAAAGGGAUUUCAUGAAAAUAGGUCAAAUCAUCAAGAAAAGAAAUACUAAAGGUAACAAUACAAAAUAUGUUAGAGGAAGAAAAACUUAAGUACACAGAGAAAUCUGUACACAAAUGUUCCUAACAGAUUUAUUUGUAAAACACUAGGCCAGCCAUGGU
RNAcentral lists this long non-coding RNA (573 nucleotides) under Pan troglodytes (chimpanzee). RNAcentral's name for it is "long non-coding RNA NONPTRT002238". The record is from RNAcentral. Lineage: Eukaryota; Metazoa; Chordata; Mammalia; Primates; Hominidae.